AGUGAACGCUGGCGGUAGGCCUAACACAUGCAAGUCGAACGGCAGCACAGUAAGAGCUUGCUCUUACGGGUGGCGAGUGGCGGACGGGUGAGGAAUACAUCGGAAUCUACUUUUUCGUGGGGGAUAACGUAGGGAAACUUACGCUAAUACCGCAUACGACCUACGGGUGAAAGCAGGGGAUCUUCGGACCUUGCGCGAUUGAAUGAGCCGAUGUCGGAUUAGCUAGUUGGCGGGGUAAAGGCCCACCAAGGCGACGAUCCGUAGCUGGUCUGAGAGGAUGAUCAGCCACACUGGAACUGAGACACGGUCCAGACUCCUACGGGGGGCAGCAGUGGGGAAUAUUGGACAAUGGGCGCAAGCCUGAUCCAGCCAUACCGCGUGGGUGAAGAAGGCCUUCGGGUUGUAAAGCCCUUUUGUUGGGGAAGAAAAGCAGCAGGUUAAUACCCCGCUGUUCUGACGGUACCCAAAGAAUAAGCACCGGCUAACUUCGUG
Molecule: ribosomal RNA, 492 nt
Filed under: uncultured bacterium
Lineage: Bacteria
Description: partial 16S ribosomal RNA
Rfam family: Bacterial small subunit ribosomal RNA
Source: RNAcentral